This 1570-nucleotide ribosomal RNA is filed under the name Candidatus Orphnella occulta. RNAcentral's name for it is "bacterial SSU rRNA". It matches the Rfam family "Bacterial small subunit ribosomal RNA". The record is from RNAcentral. Lineage: Bacteria; Pseudomonadati; Candidatus Omnitrophota.
AAACUGGAGAGUUUGAUCCUGGCUCAGAACGAACGCUGGCGGCGUGGAUUAGGCAUGCAAGUCGAACGAGACUCCUUGAACAGAGGCUUUGGCCAAAGGGAUAGGAUGUUCUAGUGGCAAACGGGUGAGUAACGCGUGGGCAAUUUACCUUUAAGUUGCGGAUAACCCCUCGAAAGAGGAGCUAAUACGUGAUGUGGCUAUUUUUACAUAAGUUUAAAUAGCUAAAGGCGGGGACCUUUCGGGGCCUGCCGUUUAAAGAUGAGCCCGCGUCCUAUCAGCUUGUUGGUGAGGUAAUGGCUCACCAAGGCAUUUGACGGGUAGCUGGUCUGAGAGGAUGGUCAGCCACACUGGGACUGAGACACUGCCCAGACUCCUACGGGAGGCUGCAGUCGAGAAUCUUUAGCAAUGGGCGAAAGCCUGACUAUGCGACGCCGCGUGAGCGAUGAAGGCCUUCGGGUCGUAAAGCUCUGUCACAACGGAUGAAAGUCCAGUAUGUGAAUAAUGUAUUGGAUUGACAGUACGUUGAGAGGAAGCCACGGCUAACUCCGUGCCAGCAGCCGCGGUAAUACGGAGGUGGCAAGCGUUGUUCGGAUUUAUUGGGUGUAAAGGGUGUGUAGGUGUCCUUGUAAGUCGGGUGUGAAAUCCUUCAGCUCAACUGGAGAAUUGCGCUCGAAACUGCAAGGAUUGAGUGUAUGAGAGGAGAGGGGAAUUCUUGGUGUAAGGGUGAAAUCUGUAGAUAUCAAGAAGAACACCGGCGGCGAAGGCGCCUCUCUGGCAUACAACUGACACUGAAACACGAAAGCGUGGGUAGCAAACAGGAUUAGAUACCCUGGUAGUCCACGCCGUAAACGAUGUGCACUAGGUGUGCCCUGUCAAAGGGGCGUGCCGCAGCUAACGCAUUAAGUGCACCACCUGGGGAGUACGUCGGCAACGAUGAAACUCAAAGGAAUUGACGGGGACCCGCACAAGCGGUGGAGCAUGUGGUUUAAUAGGACGCUACGCCUGGAACCUUACCAGGGCUUGACAUGUAUUUGACAGCCCUAUGAAAGUAGGGCUUUCUCUCAAGGACAGAUACACAGGUGUUGCAUGGCUGUCGUCAGCUCGUGCCGUGAGGUGUUGGGUUAAGUCCCGCAACGAGCGCAACCCUUGCCCUUAGUUGCCCCUUUUGGGGAUCUCUAAGGGGACUGCCGUUGAUAAAACGGAGGAAGGUGGGGAUGACGUCAAGUCAGUACGGCCCUUACGCCCUGGGCGACACACGUGCUACAAUCCCUGCUACAAAGCGUUGCCAAACCGUGAGGUGGAGCUAAUCGCAAAAAAGCAGGGCCAGUUCGGAUUGAAGGCUGCAAUUCGCCUUCAUGAAGUUGGAAUCGCUAGUAAGCGCGUAUCAGCCACGACGCGCUGAAUACGUUCCCGGGUCUUGUACACACCGCCCGUCAAGCCACCUGAGUUGACUGCACCCGAAGCCGCUGACCCAACCGCAAGGAGGGAGGCGUCGAAGGUGUGGUUAGUAAGGGGGACUAAGUCGUAACAAGGCAGCCGUACCGGAAGGUGUGGCUGGAUCACCUCCUUU